CCUACGGGAGGCAGCAGUGAGGAAUAUUGGUCAAUGGGCUUACGCCUGAACCAGCCAAGUCGCGUGAGGGAAGACUGCCCUAUGGGUUGUAAACCUCUUUUGUCAGGGAGCAAUUGGCGCUACGUGUAGCGUUAUCGAGAGUACCUGAAGAAAAAGCAUCGGCUAACUCCGUGCCAGCAGCCGCGGUAAUACGGAGGAUGCGAGCGUUAUCCGGAUUUAUUGGGUUUAAAGGGUGCGUAGGCGGAAUGCCAAGUCAGCGGUAAAAUCGCGGGGCUCAACCUCGCUCCGCCGUUGAACCUGGCGGUCUUGAGUGGGCGAGAAGUAUGCGGAAUGCGUGGGGUAGCGGUGAAAUGCAUAGAUAUCACGCAGAACUCCGAUUGCGAAGGCAGCAUACCGGCGCCCAACUGACGCUGAAGCACGAAAGCGUGGGUAUCGAACAGGAUUAGAUACCCGGGUAGUC
This 460-nucleotide ribosomal RNA is filed under the name uncultured bacterium. RNAcentral describes it as "partial 16S ribosomal RNA". It matches the Rfam family "Bacterial small subunit ribosomal RNA", at positions 338 to 795 of the family's 1533-position model. The record is from RNAcentral.